CUUCAGCUAUACCCGCAAGUCCUAGUCCCACCCCCGCUACCCCGUGUCCUGGGGACCGGGUCAAGAUGUGCGUAGGUGCUGGGAGGUAGACACCCCUCCUUCCUAGCCCCAGGCGUCACCCACGCCCAGGCCAGCACUGGAUCUUCCACUUACCUAACCUCCCCUCUCCCAAGUCCCAAGGCCACCCCCUGUGCCCCUCCUGAGAGCGGGUGACAAGCUGCUGAGACAGUGUCUGAUUCACCGACAGCUGAACCAGCUAUGCGUACUCGGAGGAGAGCAUCACCUUGUGGUCAGUGAGUUCAAACUCCCGGGCUCUGCUACCGAUGGAGACAGUCUGUUGUCGACCUUGAGCGACUUUCACAUUCUCUCUGGAUGCCUGUUUCCUUGCUUGUGAAUAAACCAGGAGCAGACCAGAGUGAAAGUGGGAGACCAAUUCAGAGGCAAUUUCAGUGGUCCAGGUGGGAGAGGAUGGAGACCUGGACAAGAUGAUGGCAGAUGGAGAUGGAGAGAAGAGGUGGGCUUCAGAUUCAUGUUGGACAUGGUGUUCACACCUUGGUGAUGGUUUGGACAUGGGACAUGAGAGAGAAAGGAACUUCAUGAGUGAUUUCUGGCUUGAGUAUCUGAAUGGGUGGUGGUGACAUUUACUGAAAUGGGAAAAUGGGGAAAGGGUUGAUUUUGGGUCAUGUAUUUAUAAUGACGCAGUUGGCACAGUCAUGUGACUUUCUCCAGCAAUGCUUAGCUGGCACAGAAGAGGUGGGCUGUAGGUUUCAUCCACAGGUGAGUGUUUGCCAGGACUGGGCAGCAGGAGAGAAGUAAGGGAGCUGAAGGGACUUGCAAGGGAGUCAUUAGCAAACUGUUGGACUAGGAACUCUAAACUCAUUGACAGGGAAAUGAAGGCAGAAAGGGGCAGUUGGUCAGAGACAAGAUGGUGGAACCAGUGGGUCAACAGUGGGGCUAUUAGAGAAAGUAAGCUGGAAGGAUAAGAGCAAGUGGUCUUCUUCAUCUUGGUACCCACAGCUCCUACACAGCUUCUGAAAUAUAGUAAAAGCUCAGUAAAUAACUGUGUUUAAACUGAGGUCAUUGUUGGCCUGAGGAUGGAUCUUAGAGGGAUGGGGUUGCACCUUUCUCUAGUCCUCUAUUUCUUGGGUUCAGUGGUCUUUCUGAAUGAGUCCAUUCUGUUUCUCUGUUCAAUUUUUUCCUUUGGGAUCAGCACACAAGAACUUCUCUGCUUCCAGUCCCCAGUGGGAUAUGAACACGAUAGUUACUGCUGGGCUGUCCCAAAGUCACUCUGUGCUUGUGGGAAGCUGGAUGGACUGUGGACUGAUCUCUGGACGUUCAUUCGUUCAUUCGUUCAUCCACCCAUUCAUUCAAUAAACCCUCACUGAGCAGCUACUACAUACCUAUCUCCUUGCUAGGUUUUGAGUUAACAAAAUGAAUGAAUGAGUAAAUGGCCAAUAAAGUUUUGUUCAUUAGGGAGCUACAAAUUGUAGCACUUGAGUUUCUGGACUUGAACUUUUUGGGUCUGUCCAUCAUUCACAGUCAUAUUGAGACUAGAGGGGACAGCCUUUAUUCUUUAGCCUGCUGUGUUGUUUUAAAAUUUUACCAAAAUGUAUAAUACUCUGAAGACACACAAAAGAAAGAAAUCCUUCCAUGGUGUCUAAAAAUGUACAAAUGCAUCUCUCCAAGAGCCGGGGUCAGGUCAGCAGUUAUGCCUUCAUCAAGGGCGGGAUUCAGAUUCUCACCCCUUUAACAUUUUUUAAACCAUGACAUAUUAUUUUUUUAGGAUGGUUUUACCUACCUAAGGGUAAUGCUCACCAAUUCUUCUUCAGAAGUUGCGCUGUCUUCCACGUGAGACAUUUAAUUUUAAUUAAUCGAAUCAGCCAUUUGUUUUGUUUUUCCAAACCCUCCGCCACUCCCAGGUAAUCUGAAGAAAUCUCUCCCCAAAGGGAGCCAGGCUUUUGCGUGCUCCGGUGUCAGCCCUUUCCACUGUUGCCUCCAGCAGGUUGGAGGGACCAAGUCUCAGGUAUUUGCUGAGCGUCUGGCACAACGGGGUGCAUAAGCGCUGUUCAUAAAUUCUGGUGUGACUAAUGGAUUGAUAUAAAUCUCAUUAGGGCUAGGAUUGUGCCUCUGUCCCCAGCACCUAGAACAGUGCCUCCUACCAUUAGGUGCUCAAUGAAAAUGUUUGUUGAAUGAAUGCAUGAGUGAAUAUUACUGGGGACUGUUGAGCUUUGUAAAUCCAAAAAUGUGCUCUAGGGUCGACUCAUUUGAUUCCCUUCCAGCUUUCAGCGGUGAUAUGAAAUAGGGCUGUGAUUUUAGAAUGUUUUGCUUGUGCUCUGCAUCCUUUUUUGGGGAGGUGGGGAAGAGGUUAGCAGGCCGAAGCAUCCUUAACCAACACACCAAUCUGAGCUGCUCCUCCUCAUCCAUUCUCUAUCUUGCGGAAAGUGCCACUCCAACCAAAUCAGUGAAGUGAAAAAAGAAAACAAAGCUGGGUUUAAUUGUUACUCCUAUCCCUUACACAAGAGUGCCACGACUGAAAAUACAGAGGGGCAGCCUGAGGGGCUGUAAAUAGAGAGACUAGAAAGUUAGGAAAGAAGACUCUGAAAGAGCAUCACUUUUGGAGCCUUUCUUGAGGAUCUCCUCUGUCACCUGCAGCUUGCUCUGUGUCUUGGCUUAUGUUGGAGGAAUGCUUACUCCUCACUCAUGAUGCUCUUUCCAUGAGAAGGGGCCUUCUGUUCCAUCAACAAUGCUGGCCUUUCCAUACCCUUCCACUCAUUCCUCCCAGGAAAGGAUAGGUGACAUAACAGAGUGGUGAGUUUGAGAUGAGGAAUUGAGUUGUGUAGCCCAGUCUCUGCCUCUCUUGGGACUGACCUGUCAGCAAAGAGCCCCAUUCUGCUCUGCUCCAGUAUCCUCUAUAGAGGGCAGGCUAUGCAUCUGUUGGGGGCCUUGUAAUCAUGCAGUGCUGCCUGCGACUGGGUGGGUAAGGCUGCCUAAUUUUGGGAUUCAGUACUAGAAAGCUCAUUAUUGCUGCACACCUAAGACACAUCUUCCCGCCCAACCUUGAUGAGUAAUGUCAUAGUCGGUUUAGGCUGCUGUUAGAAAAAUACCAUGGAUGGGGUGGCUUAAAUGACAAACAUUUAUAUUUCACAGCUCUGGAGGCCGGGAAGUCUGCAAUCAGGGUCCAGCAUGGUUGGGUUCUGGUGAGGGCUCUCUUUCUGAUUUGCAGAUGGCUAACUUCUCCCUGUGUCCUUGCGUGGUGGAGAGCAGACAGAGAGGAAGCAAGCUCUCUCAUGUCUCUUCUUAUAAGGGCACUAAUCCUAUCACGAGGGCUCCACCUUCAUGAUCUAAUUACCUCCCAGAGGCCCCCUCUCCAAACAUCGUCACACUGGGGUUAGGGUUUCAAUGUAUGAAUUUUGGGAGCACGCAAACAUUCGAUCCAUAGCAAGUAAUAAGGAUGAGUUUUUCAUCUCCAUCUGCCUGACUCCUGUGGCUUUCUCUCAUUUGGUGCCAAACUUGGGUGAGGAAGGGACCCCCUCAAAUACCAAUAGCUGAGGUCUAGUGUUUGGAUGUUUGGGGAUUGAUCUGGCUGAAAGGGACAGAGACAAGCAGGUAGAGUUUCUUUGGUUCAGUGCUUAACCAGUUUGCACAGAGCAAAUCCCCUUUUCUUUCUAUGGGUGCCGCAUGCACGAUGCCCUAGCUCUCAGUGCUGUUGCUGCUCCUUCCCUCUGCUAUGCUGCUUUGCUGCAGCCCUUGUUUUCCAGCAUCCUCCAUCUGAUAACAUCACGGGGAGAGAGGGGAACGUUAGGAAAAGAGAGCAGGAAGAGAGGGCAGAAGCGUUCCCAGUAGUAGCCCUGCAGGCAGCACCCUUGUUUAGUGCAAACUGACUCUUCUUCAGCCAAGCAGAUGCUUAAGACCCAAGUUUCAUUAGGCUGAAUUCCUUCCCAUAGGGCACCUUGGUCCCUCAUGCAAAUGAAACUCUUCAUGAGCCAACCCCGAUAGCUGAAGAGGCCAUGUCUGAGUCUGAUAAUGCUCUGUAUAAUAUAUGUAAAACACACAAUAAUGCAUACAUACACACCUACAUUUUAGGAUGCAAUGCUACAGGUGAAUACAUAUAUGCACAAGGAAGCAUGUGUGUACACAUACAUUUGCUACAUAUAAUAAAACAACUCUUCCCCAAUUAAAAUUCAAAGUCAAUAAAGGUAAGGAAGGGACUGUUUCUGUAUUUCUUCUGUCCUCAAGGUUAGCUCUUCGAGUCAAGCCUCUCUUCCAAGUCGGGAUUUAAUUUCCUUGGAAAGAUAGUCUAUGGAAGGCAAGAAGUGCAGGACCUGGGUCCUUUUUCUGACCACGUCUCUGGCUGUAUGACCUGGAGCACAACCGUCCUGCUUCAAAGCCUGCGUUUCACUGCAUAGUACGUAGGGUAGAGGCUGUGCUGCGUUGGCUCUCCUAGCUCCUUCUGUGGAUGUAUACUCUGAACAAAUAGCCAACGAUUUGUAGGUGGCCAGAGGAAGAUAUGGAGGGAAGGAGAAGGUGGUGAGGUUUAAAGAGACAGGAAAUAUGGCAGCCCUCAUUUACUGGAGAGCUACGUAUUAUACAAUCGGCAAAGGAUGGGGUCUAGGGGUUCCAAUGGAAUCAUUGCCUACCUCAUCAGUUACUGCAAGAAUGAUAGAAACAACUGUGAUUGGCUUUGCACUCUUUAGAAAAAAAGGCAUUUGCAGGUGUGGCAGAGAGGAAGAGAGAGAGAAAGAGAGAGAGAGAACAGGCUGUGUGCUUGGCACUUUGUCGGGUGCUGUGAGGGGCACAGGGGUGGACCAGCCGCGGACCCUUCCCAAUUGCUCGUCAUCUCUGGCGAGAGAGGUCAGCCGCAGGCUCCGGAGAAAUAGCUCCUUAAGAGCGGGACAGGAAAAGUGCUGUGGAAUUUGAUAAACUAGAACUGAUAUCUAAAACUCUCUACUUGAGUCAUUGAGCAUUUGCAAGACAGAUUCCUUCAGGAGAGGGCCCCACAGGACUCUUGUUUGGGCUCUCACCUCACUUAUCCCAUGGAAGGCAUGAUCAACAGUGACUGAAUGUGUUGGCCCACAUUAUUUACAAACACCGUGCUUGAACCGUGGUUAGGCAGAGACGUAUUUGGAGAAGGUUUUGUGCUCACUACAGCUCUGUGCUAGAAAGGUCUGACUCGAAAUGCUUCAAUUGAGUUUCUUAACUAUUUACCUUGGUCCUUCGUGUUUUUUGUUUUCCAGUUCUUCCUCAAACACGCUCUUUCUCUUCUUCCGAAAACAGUCAGAUGGCUGAGUCUAAUGGGACUGUGAUUAUCUUACUAGAAAGACAGCACUUUGCAAAGCUUGCUUUAUAUUAGAUUCCCUUCAAAGUCUACACAGGGCGUGUGAGCAUGAGGGCAAUGACAUCCACAUAAGGCCUACAGCUGGAAAGAACAUUCUUAGAGCGGGAAGUGCUGUGUGAACAGUUGUCUGCUCUGCCCCAACUGUUGCCACAUGUGGGUGGGGCCCCCUGAAGGAGAAGGCAGAAGGGCUCUAGGUUUCUGGGGUACAUAUUAGGCUCUGAGCCACAGUUACCGCUACUAUUAUUAUUUAUAGUUAAAACUACUCAGUUAGUAUUCAUGGAAAAUUUCUAAGGUAGGAAUUAUUGUGACCUGCCGUUUACAAUUUGAAAGGACAUGCAAUUUCACUAAGGUUAUAUCAAUAGUAAAAGGCAGAACCAGGAUUCAAACCAGGCUCCAAGAUUUCUCCCCCACCUUUUCUUUUUUGGAGAGGAAGAUUGGCCCUGAGCUAAUACCUGUGCCCAUCUUCCUCUGUUUUGUAUGUGGAAACACCACCAAAGCAUGGCUUGAUGAAUGGUGUAGGUCUGUGCCUGUGAUCCGAACCCACGAACCUGGGCCACUGAAGCGGAGUGCACCGAACGUAACCACUAUGUCACUGGGCCAGCUCCCAAGUUCUUUCCCUUUUGUUGAAGGAAUGAUUUAGUGAAGGAAUGACUAGUGAUAUCGUGAUACGCACCAGCCGAACUUUCACUAGGAAUUGACCUGAUUGUUGAUGUUUUGUAAUUUGUGUACUUUCCCCCCAGUAUUGGCAUGAUUCUUUAUCUAAAUUCAAGAGGUCACUUCUUAACUAAGCAUUUCAGUGUUAGGAGGCACCAUCAAUCAACCAACAAAUUUUGGUCUCUGUAUAUUGAUACCUAGGUGCCUGCCAAGGUGAAUUUAUGGAGAGUAUCAGAUACUCUUCAAAUGCUCAUUUUAGCCAACUAUUUCUUUCCCAGUUUUAAUGUGGAUAAUGUAUAGUAACACUGAAUGAACUUACAUUCUCUGUGCUCUCUCCUCACUCGUGUGGGGUAAAUGAACCCAAGGUGACCACUGAGGAGGCCGCAGGAAAGAAAGAAUGAAGGGACUGGCAUGAUUCAUAUCUUGAAAGCUAGUGUUUGAAUAAUGAGGAGUCACUUAUGAUUACUAUUAGAAUUUCCCCAUUCUUCCUCUUCUUGUUCUAGUGACUUUCAAGUCCCUGGAGUAUUUUAUUGUCAUUUCUGAUACAUAGACAGCUAAAGUGGGUAUCACCCUUAAGAACUUACAGAUGGAAGUUGACAACGCCUCUGCGAGAAAGAGGUAUCAUUACUGUCAUUCACGGAGAGCCUGAGAGUCUAGGCCUCCAUGCCUGCUCCACUGGCUACAAGUUCAGGACUCUCCAGAGCCCCAGGGUGUUCUCCUGGGAGCUUCUCCUCCCUCCCCUCCACCGCCACUUGGAGACUGUCACCUGCCUUGGAGGAGAAUUCUUAUUGAGAGUUCCUAAGCCCUGGAUUUUCCAGACUCAGUCCUCUGCCUCUCAGUGAUCAGCUCACGAGAGUUUGCCCUGAAACGUACACAGUGAUUUCUGUGCUACUUUUUGGUAUUUCCUGCUGGAGCUCGGUCUGGGUGGAGUUCCCUGUGGAAGUGCCAGAGUUUUCCUGUUUGUGCAGUUGAUUUUCAAAACCUUAAAUAAACUCUGUUGUGAUGUGUUCAGAAUCAUAACAACUCAACAACUAAAAUAGGUGCCUACUAUGGGCCUGGCACGGUUCUAGCAGCUGGGGAUACAACAGUGACCUCAGCAGACCCUGCUUUCAAAGAGCUUGCGCUUGGGUCCAGGACACUGAUUAGCAAACAGGCAUUUGCCCUCCGCGUGCUAAGUGCUGUGAAGGACAAAGUCCAGGGUGUUGGAGGUUGGGGGGGUGGUGCACACAGCAGGGGCAGUGACUGAGCCCAGCCUCGGGAGUGGCAGGGCUUGGGGGUGUGGGAAGUGCCAGCAGAGGCUUCCUAGAGCCCGAGCCAGCUAAACUGUAUCCUAACUACCAGAAACUAAUUUUUGUAGACUCUGUUCUCAAUUAUCUACAAGUAGAUGAUUGCACUUAAUUUGCAAGAAAACUUUUUGCAAUGGCUUGAGUAUUUCAAUUUCCUCUAUUUAUAAUACAUGUUACAUAGAGGCAUCAAAUCUCACAAGGACAGAGCUUCGGCAGCCCAGAUAGCCUGCUCAAAGGAGGGUUUGGGACGAGUGAAACACUGCAUUUCCUGCUUGGGACCGAAGAGAAGGGAGAAAGGAGAUAGGGGUGGGGGGCAUUGAAGUGCUUCCCAAGCUUCCGACCAUUCAGGUCUUUAUAGGGAGCGUCAUUAUUUCAUCUGAAGUGUAUUUUCAGGGUGUCAAGCAGGCACAUCUCUGUUCAAAUACCAGAUAGGCAACAAAACACAUUCCAGAGCCACCAGAUGUAAAUGACUCGUGGAUGAUUCUCUUUUUAGCUUCUCCAGGCCAUUGUUCCCCUCCAUUAGCGCAAAUAAUAAAGACCAACUUCUUGCCAAAGGAAAGAAUAGGGGGUGGGGUUGGGAACAAUGCAAAGGCUUCUGUGUGUCUGGCCAGACGAGUUCCCUGUGAUUAGUCUCCGAUCCACUUUUGAUCUCUUGGUCAGACAAUAAAAUGCCUAUUUAAUUUAAAAAUAAACUUUAUUAAGGUUUAAUUUACAUGCAAUAAAACACACCCAAUUUAAGUAUGCUGUUCUUUGAGUUUUGACAAAUGUAUACACGGAGGCAACCACCUCCCCAACCAAGACAUGGAAAAUUUUCAACUCGCCAAAGUUCCUUUCGGCCUUUUUAGUUACCCUAGCCCCAGCCCCGGGCAAGCGCUGACCUGCUUUCUGUCACUAUAGAUUAAGUUUGCCUGUUUUAGAAUUUCCAAUAAAUGGAAUCAUACCAUAUUUUUUCUUUUGUGUCAGGCUUUUUCACCCAGGAUCAUGUUUUUGAGAUUCAUUCUUGUUGUUCUUGUAUCCAUAAUUCCUUCUUUUUUAUUUAAAAUGCUGAUUUUUGAAGUAGCAAGCAACUGUUCAAGGUACCACUCAGGAAGAUGAGCAAAUCGAGGAAGUCCCUCUGGCCUAAAAAUUCUAUCAACUUGCCCAGGAAAUGAAGGCCUGAGAAUUGCACCAGGUGCUCGCUGGCCUCCUAGAUGCAUCUCAGACUCUGCAUGGGCCAGAAAUGAGUAAUGUAUAACCCCCAAGGGUGACAUAAGAUCUCCCACCCAAUUCUGUUCUUCUGGGUAUUUAGGGAAGAGCAAUAUCCAGGGCAAGGUGAUGGUACUUCGCUCCACGGGACAGAAAUUUAGCAUCAACUGGAGAGUUGAAUCUAGAGGGUGGUCUGGGAGGCUGGGUAGAAUUGGAUUGAUUAUUAGGAGAAAAUUCGAAUAAUAUCAUUUAAGUACACACACAUUCUGAAUUAAAUACACAUUUGUGGAUCCCUGUACUUCUUAAUAAAAGGACACUUAGUUCCAAGUUCUCGUUAAGAAGCUGAUAAGCAUCCAUUUUCUUCUAUUCCGACAAUGAUUAUUCCUCAACUCUAUAAAAUUUACAAACUGCUUCGGAAGCAUUGGUGGAGAAAGGUGCUGUAUGAAUAUAUGAGAUUAUUGAAAUAAAUGCUGAUUUAGAGAUUUCCCAGGUGGAGAGUUAAAAUAUACUGGGGCACAUGCACUCACUCUCACCCCACCCUCAGGGUACUUUCCGCUCUGAUCAGCGGAGAUAAAUUUUCCGACCUGACAGUUGACUGUAAAUCAAGAAGUGUGUUUUAAUAGUCACCACCUUUCUGCUUCUGUGUGCUGCUGUCUGAGGCAAUCCUUCACCUCCCGGGACACAAGACCUGAAGGAUUUUGGCACAUUCUCUCCCCUGCACGUGGAGAGGUGGUGCUUAGCAGCAAGGUAAAUAUUGGCAGGCUUGUAGGCGAGCAGUGAAUAUAAAUAAGUCAGGACAUCCUUAGAAAAGUUCAUCUCUGGAUCCACCGUUCUUUUUGCCAAUAGGUAAGAAAAUAGAAAAUCAUGAGUUUCUCAGGUUUUUGCCAAAUCACAACAAGAUAUUUUUGUAACAAUAUAAAAGCUAGAAAGUAUUUGAGAGUCAGUAAAUGCUGAAUAAAUAAUUCUGAAGGUGAACACAUGCCCUUAUUGCCACAAGCCCUGAUUACUGGGUUGGAUUACUACACUUGCUCCUCCUGACUUUAUCCCUCAUAAUCCUGUCCAUCAACGUUUGCUUGGAGUAACGCAAAUAAACCAGGCUGUUCCAUGCCCCAGUGUCUUUGCACCUGCUGCUGUUUAUGCCCGGACUGGAACCCUUUCCAUUAAUCCACGUGGGCCAGGGACAUUUUCUGAUCUUUCAACACUUGGUACCAGGAUCACCUUUAAUUUGCUUUAUGAAGCUUUUCUUGACAAACUCUCUCACUCCCAGACCUGCCACUUCAUCCUGUACAAAUGUGAUUGCACAUGUCUAUUUAACACAAACAUCACUGGCCUCUCUUGGCAAGUCUCUGCUCAUAUCCUGUACUCCCUCUGAGGCCAUAAUCAACACUUCAUUGCUACCCAGUUGCCCUUUGUGACUUCUCAAGCCUCUUCCCAAAGCAUUUUGAGUAAUGUAGCUUUUACUGAAAUGUUCACAAGGGAGAAAAGUGGAGGGCUUACACUGAACACCAUGUGGCCAAACUUCAUAAAAAUCUCCAUCAUUCCAAAAGCCUGUUCUCCUUUUGCCAGCUGCCUUCUCUCCUCUGUCUCUUCCAUUCUCUGCUCUCCUCUAACCUCCUUUCACCCUUGGAUCCCUCAACACGGCCACAAUCCCAGCUCACAAUCCAGCCCUUUCAGCCCUUUCUCCUUCAUUAACUUGUGUCCUUGAAGUUUUAGGUCCUAUUCAUCAAACAAAGUAUCUCUGUGAGAUCACUCCCCUUUAAAAGGCAAGGGUCACAAAAUCUCCACAUUUCUUCUCCUUCCACUAAAGACUGGAGCAACUUGAGGGUAGGAAUCAAGCCCUAUACACUUUUGCAUCUCUUCUGCAAAAUAUUUAAAAUAUUGUGAAAUGGAAGAAGAAAUAAAUGAAAAAAUAUAGCCACAGGUUAAAAUCCCCAAAGCCCCACUCUAAUCACAGUUUUCUUCUGUUUGAAGAUCUUCCUUACCUCGUGAACUCAUGCUUUGGUCAUCUGCCAUUUCUCCCUGACUCUAGCACUCUGCCCCGCCAUGAUGGGCCCUCUCCACUCCAGCCCACUGGGCGUGUUCUUGCCCUCAGGUGCUCAUUCGGGUUGUCUCUCCAGGCCUAGAAUAAUCUAUGUCAUUCAUGAGGAUGGUUGGCGGUGGUUUACCAUCACCCUAUUGGAGGCCAAGGUAGACGCAACUGUUCUGGUUUCGUAGGUCCGUCCUAACCCUUCCCAGUCUUCAAGGCUCAGUGCGGGUCUUUGCUUCCUCAGCAGACUUCAUGGAGGUCUGCAGUCCAGGCGUAAUGCUCUCUCUCAUGUCCUUAGGACAUAAGCCUUGAACACAUCCACUCUGAUGGCACUUAAUCAUUCAGCCUUAUAUCAUUGUUAAAUUUGGGGUAUGAGGCCUUGAGGUCAUCCUCUUUCCAAAAUGUGGUCAUCAUUAGGUCUGUUCACCAAAAUUUUAGGUGUUUUCCUCAUUUCUAGACUUGUGGUAAGUUUGUACUUGUCUAACCCCUUGAAGCUAUGUGUGGCUGUCUAAUUGACUCUGGCUAAUGACAUGUGAACAGAAUUGACAUAAGCCCCUUUGGGAAAUAAGCUUUCAGAGGAAGAGUGAUGGAUCAUGCUGUCUUUCCCUCUGACAUGGCGACUGGCAGUGUUUGAGGCAUCUGGUGGAUUGUCCAUCAGCCUGGGUCUGUGAAUGAGGACCCAGCGAUUCACAUGGGCAUUUGGUAUGAGCAAGAAGUAAACCUUUGUUAUGUUAUGCCAUUUAGAUUCAGAGAUUAUUUGAACAAUUAAUAACAUAAAUAAAUAAAUGUGUGUUGCUGCAGCACAACCAAUCCUAUCCAGACAGACUCUAAGUUCCCUGAAGGCAGCACUCAGGUAUAACUCACCUUUCUGUCCCCCAGAGAACAUAGCACAAUGCCUCACGGAUGUUCGAGAACUACUGCUGAUUGAUUAGACAUACUGUGAUAAGGUAAAAUAUAUGAGACUAGAGAGUAGUACUUGGUGUCAGGACUUCAACUUGAGACUUAGCCUCUAAAAAACCAAAAUAAAUGUACGUGAUGAUUUCAGUAGUAUUCCAAUAAGAUCGUUGCAUACAGGGAGGCAGAAGAGUGUAAUGCAAGGAACCUGGGCUCUCUAGCUUGAUAGACCUGGUUCAAGUGCAAGCUUUACCAGGUACUUGGCUGCAUGACCUUGGGCUGGUUAUUUAAGGUCUUUGAGGCUGGGAGAACAUCACUACUUACUAGGAAGGAUUAUUGUGGGGAUUAAACAAGAGAAUGUAUGUAAAGCCCUUGGCACAUAAUGAAUGGUCAACAAACGUCAUUCUCUUAGGCUCUCCUCCCACCAACUGCGUGUGGGUUGGUAUGAACUCUUGCUUAAUUCUCUGGGAACUACUUCCCUUCAUUUACACCCUCUGAGACCUUGGUUGCUCGCCUAGUCCCUGGAUUUCUUUAGCUUGGCCUACCUCAGAUCCUUAGGAUUUUGCUUUCCCUACCCCAUGCACACUCUGGCCUUCUGAGAAAUUCCAUAUGCAAAUGGUCACAGUUGACAGGAGCCCUUGGCAAAGGACUGCAAUGGGGGAAAAGGGUUCUUGAGACAGACUGUCUGCUGCCCCAAAUUUAAAAUAGGGCCCUUGGUAAGGUGUGUAUAGUCAGGGAGGUGAUCUCUAUGGGGAAGAAAGAAUUUAAGAUGUCAUGGUGACCAGUUCCAAGGAAGCCCCACCUUGGCCUGUGCCCUGGCUCUAAUGGCGGGGGGUUCUUCUCUUGAAUCCUGGGAUUGUAUCAGUGAUGGUCGCAGAGAGGUCUGUGAGAUUAUCUUCAAUGACUGACUCCUUCCACAGACUGGGUCUUGGUGUGGGGCCCGAGGGCUUAUGUUUUCUUGGACUCCUGGCCCAGUGAACUGUGUGUUUACAGGUUUACAAUUGUCCCUGACUGAGUCCUUGAGGCCACCUCCCCCCUUCCCCUCCCCAUGGAGCGCAACCGUGAUGUGGCAUAUCUAACCACCCCAAGGUGCUUGUGUAACUUGUUUUUCAAAGUCUUGGCAGGAGCUCCGGUCCUGAAGUGAGAAAGGGUGUUUACAUUCUGGAAGAGCAGUGCCGACAAAUGUCUUGCAUCAGGGCUGUUCUCCACCAAUCUCUGCUUCCCAGUUUUCUUCUCUGUGGGAUGGCUUGUGACAGCCACAGAGAUAGUCUGGGACCUGGAAGAAACGAGCCUGAACGUGAAAGCAGGCAUUCAAGGGACAGGGACAACAAAAGCUGUUUCCCUAUAAGGAAAAGAAAAGGUUCCCAGUGCCUGUGACUUCUCUCCCAGUUGUUCAGGCUGUCACAACAUUACAAAUAGUGUUCCCCAAUUUGCCAUAUGGCCUGAGAUUUCAUAAUGAGGGCUUUGGGUCUUUGGCCUUCAUAUACAUCACCAACAUGAGAAGCUGCCAAUGCUUGGUAAAGUGGUUUGAAAUUUAUCUUUGAAAACCAUUGUCUAGUCUUAGGCUCGAGUCUCCAGUUUGGGGAUACACGGAUAAAUGUUUAGGGGGGGCUGCUUAGAGAAUCUGAGGCAAGACCCCUAUUGGAUAGGCAGCAGUUUUCCGACUUCUUGUUAUUUUUAAUAGCAGUGGAUUCCUUUCUUUAUACGAAAACGUACCAAAAACUCGCUAGUGAAGCAGGAAGAGCACAACUUUGUGGGAGCGGAGCUGGGAAUCUGAAGUGUGAGCGCUGGAUUUGAGUCUCCUAAGCAUGGGUAGCUGAUGACCACAGGAAGGAUCCGUGAGAAAGGCCAGAGAGUGGAAACUGAAACUGACUGACAACAGACUGGAAAGAGAGAGUCUGGAGCCGGGAUUAAGGGACUGUGGUUUCUGCAAGUCCGCUGUCCGUCUAGGGGUUGGCAUCUUCCAGGAGAGGCUAGAGCUUGUGAGUCUCAGCUCAGCCUGAGGACCCAUGGAGAAGAACGUAAUUCCAGCUCCAAAGGCCUCUCUUGCACAGAAGAAUUUUUAGCGUUGAGAGGAAGUCUAGGAGGGCAAGAUGGCAGCCGACAACUCCAGACACUUUCUACCCUGCUCAAGACCAAUGGGAAAGAGCUCUGAUUGGGUCACAAGCCCAUUCCUGAACCAAUCACGAUGGCAGUGCUCCGAAUGGCCAGGAGGCCUGAGCAGCUCUGUUCACCAGAUCACUCAGGGACUCAGGCUGAUGACACAACCCCUAACUCCAACAUUGUCAGACUCUACCGGACGACAGGAGCUUGCAGAAGAUCUUGCGUCAGGACUGAAAUGGUGCAGCCAGCAGUGACUUAUACUUGCAUUUCAUUGGCUAGAACUAGUCACGUGACCCCACCCAACUGGAAAUGGGCCAGGAAGUACCAUCUUAGCAUGUGCGCGGAGCCGGUACUCUGAAAUAUUUGGGAACAGUACUGAUGACUGGGGUGAUCAGAUGAUUUGGAAACUGUGAUGACCACAUGCAUGAGUCCCUCAGAAGAUUCAGCAUGGUCUAGUUCUCUGGCAAGGGAGAUCAGACCCCACUCUGAAGACCACUGUCCCACCGGCCUCACAUACUGGAAGUGUACACUCUAUGACUUCUUGCUUCUGAAUCUUGGCUCCUCGCAGGCAGCCCCUGGGAGGAUGACUGACAAGACAGCUGAAGCCCAGCUGCUAUUUCUUCAAGAAAAUUGUUGUAGUCAAAUACACUUAAUGUGAAAUUUACGAAUUCAAUCAUUUUGAAGUAUAUAAUUUGGUGGUAUUUAUUAUAUUCACAGUGUUGUACCAUCACUACUAUCUGGUUCCAGAACAUUUUUAUCACCCCAAAAGGAAGCCGCAUAUCCAUCAAGUAGUUACUCCCUAUUUCCCUCCUCCUUCCAGCCGCUGACAACCACAAAUCUGCUUUCUGACUAUGAAUUUGCCUAUUCUGGGUAUUUCAUAUAAAUGGAACCACACAAUAUGCGGCCUUCUGUGUCUUUAAGCACAGCUACUUUUCGAGGUGUCCUCAUGACCCAUGAGCAGCUCACAGAAUGUUGUGUACCAAAUGGUGGCAGUGCAGGUGCCCCACAGAUGCCUGCUUUCGCCACCUGCUGUCACUCUGAUUUCCUUUUUCUGGUUCAGAGGGAGAGUAGCACCCUGCCGCCUAAGCAGGGAAUGGACUGCCCGCCUCUCCUUCUUUCAAGGCCUCAGUCUCUGUGGGUGACUCUCUGUGGGAAUCCCUCCCUCACACCGGUGGGGGGUGGGGGGUGGGAAGGGGAAGAAGGCUCGUCCCUGUGCACGGAGGAGGAGAAGCCACUGUACACCCCCAAUCUCUCCCGAUUCCCACCCGCCCCAGCAGAAGUCCUUCCAGUGCUUGAGGUCAGAGUGAUGAUAGUGGAACCACAAGGGCUUCCAAGACAUGGGGAAGUGUGGCAUUUGGCCCCAUUCCCCCCACCCCCACCGUGUUCUUUACAAUCUGUGUUAUUUAGCUGCUGUGUUUUCAGCUUUGGGCCUGAGGGCCAAAUCUGCAGCAACAAGAAAGGUCCUAUUUGAUAUCUUACACACCUUUUUGAUUAAUGUUCCUCCCUCACUCAACAACUUCCCACGUCUCUCUGUUAUGAACGGAUAAAUUCCAAACUCUUGACUUGGCAUUCAAGGCCCUCUACCAAUGGGUCCAACUUGGCUUUCGAGCUUUCUCUCUUAGCGUCCCCAGCACGAAGUCUGUGUUCCUUUCAGGUUGGCCUGCUCACUCGCUGCCCCCACAAUGGUCUUGUUCCGUUUGGGUUGGAGUCCUUCACUCUUCCCUUCCCACCUGGGGUGUGUUUUCUCUGCUUUCUCUUCUCUGGCCUGUGCAGCUCUUUCCCAUCAUCUCCUCUCAGCUUUCCUGGGCACCCAGCCUCGUCUCUCUCUGUGCUCCUCAGCCUGGGCUGUGCCCUCAGGCACCUCUCCUGCUGCCUUGUGUGGCUAGUGACCCCCUCACAGGUGUCCGUCUGUGCCAGGGCAGCCUGAGUUGCUGAAUGAACACUGCAGCCUGCAUGGAGGCUGACCAGCCCGUCCCCUCACCCCUGUGACCUCAGGAAGGGAAACUGGCAGAGCUACGCUGAAGGGGAUUAGCCAAGGCCACAGAACCCAAAUCUUCUCCUGAUUGGUGUGACUAAUCCACUUUUGCUCAACAAGCCCAGCUGAGGCCUCAAAAAACCCUUUCAACACUGCUCCAGGCGGCCACCACCAUUCAAUUGAAUUUGGCAAGUGAGUUGAAGUCUGUUAUUCCUACACCCAGCUCUUCCAGGGAGUGAAGCUGUAAACCCUGGCAAGAUUGGCUACAAGAAGCCGUGGACGGGCCACUGAAGUGGAUCCACAAGUGGCAGGG
RNAcentral lists this long non-coding RNA (15771 nucleotides) under Equus caballus (horse). RNAcentral describes it as "lncRNA (ENSECAG00000060322.1)". The record is from RNAcentral. Lineage: Eukaryota; Metazoa; Chordata; Mammalia; Perissodactyla; Equidae.